GUUCUGGAAGCAGGGUGAGGAAAGGGCAUUGGGGUGUCCACAGUAUGUCACGUAGGCAUUUCACCCUGCUUCAUCUCUGCAUCUCUCUGGGCCUGCUUCCCAUGCCUUGUUACUCAGAAGAAUAAACCUCCAACUUUCUGCCAGGAAGCAAGGAAAGGGCUGCUGCAUGAAUGCACACAUGAGCGGAGACGUGAUGGGCUCAACCACACCGUGGGCCAACUUCCAGCAAACGCCCUUUUUCACUGCGAGCUUUGUUUUCACCUUCCUUUUCAAAUAUUCAUUUCUUAUAAACACUGAGCAACCCAGAGGUUCUUCGGGGUGAAGCAGCUCUGUUCCCACUUGUCUGCAAGCAAUUGGCUUUCUCCUUUCUUCGCUCUGCCAAGGAUAUGAAUGUGAUGAUGUGAUGGCUGGAGCAUUGGCAGUCAUCUUAGACCAGGAACUGAAAAUGGCUUGAAGGGAAAUGUGGAGCAGAGAGAUUAAAGGAACCUGGAUCCCAUACCGACCUGGCAUUAUCUCUUGCAGGCUUGUUUUUCACAAGAGAGUAACGAACAUCUAUCUUUCUUAA
Long non-coding RNA from Pipistrellus kuhlii (Kuhl's pipistrelle), 565 nucleotides. RefSeq lists it as uncharacterized. Lineage: Eukaryota; Metazoa; Chordata; Mammalia; Chiroptera; Vespertilionidae. The record is from RefSeq and is a predicted model, not a curated record. The transcript has 2 exons.